This is a long non-coding RNA of Pezoporus flaviventris, 672 nucleotides long. RefSeq lists it as uncharacterized. The record is from RefSeq and is a predicted model, not a curated record. The transcript has 5 exons. NCBI's taxonomy places the organism in Eukaryota, Metazoa, Chordata, Aves, Psittaciformes, Psittacidae.
AAUGUUAAGAAGCCUAAGCAGUGUGAAAAAUAUUGUACAAAUGUACUUUUGCAAAGAAAAGCUGAAGAAUUACAUUGGAAAGCAGAAAAGUGGCCUUUUCUAACGUUUGAAAAUCUUUCCCCUGCUAGUUAAAAGAUAUUCACCAUAAACCUUGGCUGCCUGCUCCUGCACAAAGAGAUAAUGCAGAACUUUAACAUGAAGAAGCUGGUCAGCUGGAGACCAACUAUUCCAGAAACAGGUGGUCUCUAUACCUUCCUGAACAUCUGGAAGUACCAAGCACUGCAUGAGCAUGCCAUAAAUGGGACCAAGCUGAAGAAUUUUCAGCCAAUGAACCACGAUUCCAGCCCUAGAAAACAGCACUUUGUUUGCUGCAGGUAGAACAGACCUAAUUCAUUUUGUAGAUCAGAUACAACAAUAGAGUCACACAAGGGGAGAAACCUGUGCAAUAUCUAUCUCAAUAAGAAAAACAAACAUGAACAAGAAACACGUGAUCACUUUUCUGUUAACCGUAAAUCCUCCUCUCUCCUUCUAAUCUUCAGUAAAAACCUGAACAACAUAAAAACUGCUUCAGGGUUUUAUGAGACUCAUGACAGAGCACCACAUGGCACCAUAGUAAAACUGCUUCAUCUUGACCUCUCCUUUCACGACUACAUAUGAAAAUUCAUCCUAAUA